This 468-nucleotide ribosomal RNA is filed under the name uncultured bacterium. RNAcentral describes it as "partial 16S ribosomal RNA". It matches the Rfam family "Bacterial small subunit ribosomal RNA", at positions 28 to 507 of the family's 1533-position model. The record is from RNAcentral.
GACGAACGCUGGCGGCGUGCUUAACACAUGCAAGUCGAACGGAAAGGCCCUGCUUUUGUGGGGUGCUCGAGUGGCGAACGGGUGAGUAACAGGUGAGUAACCUGCCCUUGACUUUGGGAUAACUUCAGGAAACUGGGGCUAAUACAGGAUAGGAGCUCCUGCUGCAUGGUGGGGGUUGGAAAGUUUCGGCGGUUGGGGCUGGACUCGCGGCUUAUCAGCUUGUUGGUGGGGUAGUGGCUUACCAAGGCUUUGACGGGUAGCCGGCCUGAGAGGGUGACCGGCCACAUUGGGACUGAGAUACGGCCCAGACUCCUACGGGAGGCAGCAGUGGGGAAUAUUGCACAAUGGGCGGAAGCCUGAUGCAGCAACGCCGCGUGCGGGAUGACGGCUUUCGGGUUGUAAACCGCUUUCGCCUGUGACGAAGCGUGAGUGACGGUAAUGGGUAAAGAAGCACCGGCUAACUACGUG